This 27-nucleotide transfer RNA is filed under the name Solanum asymmetriphyllum. Its description in RNAcentral is "partial tRNA-Gly". Lineage: Eukaryota; Viridiplantae; Streptophyta; Magnoliopsida; Solanales; Solanaceae. The record is from RNAcentral.
UUGUAGCGGGUAUGGUUUAGUGGUAAA